GCGCGGUUAAUUUAAUGGUCAGAAUAUCGCUCCGUAAGACCGGGCUACUCUUGGCCACGUCCGGCAAGAACGAAGACACGGGUUCGAUUCCCGAACCGUCGCC
Non-coding RNA from Neurospora tetraspora, 103 nucleotides. The record is from the annotation of a RefSeq genome assembly. NCBI's taxonomy places the organism in Eukaryota, Fungi, Ascomycota, Sordariomycetes, Sordariales, Sordariaceae.